Molecule: non-coding RNA, 24 nt
Filed under: Arabidopsis thaliana (thale cress)
Lineage: Eukaryota; Viridiplantae; Streptophyta; Magnoliopsida; Brassicales; Brassicaceae
Source: RNAcentral
GACAUAUAGAGAGCGAGCCAUUGU